UCUUCCAGGUCAGGUGGCAAAAGUUUAAUGAGGAAUUUAAUUGCUUAAUGAAUCAAAUAGGUCGUGUUUUUGCUCCAAGGGUUGAGGUAACAUUGGUUCAGAUGAAAUAUUAGAGUUUGGGUUAGAGAGUUUUACCUUCGAGGAAUAAGACGUGCUUUAGAAAUCAUUUCCAGGUCCCCCAAAUACUUUAUUGUGCUUACCUUCAUACCCUUACUAAUUACUCUGCAUAAAAUCCACCAACCUUAGAGCUAGAUUUCAUUUUAGAAAUAUUUUGUUAUCUAAUUUUACCCAAAUGGCAUACACUAGGGCAGCCAUAACAAAGUACCACAAACACGGGGUCUUAAAAAACAGAAAUUUAUUCUCUCAAAGUUCUGGCUAGAAGUCUGAAGUCAAGGUGUCAGUAGGUCCACGCUGUCUCUGAAGGCUCAAGGUGGGAGUCCGUUCCACGCCUUUCUCUUAGCUUUUGGUGUUGCCAGCAAUCCUUGAUGUUACUUGGCUUAUAGACACAGCUCUCCAAUCUCUGCUUCCAUUGUCACAUGACAUUCUCCUGGUGUGUGCCCUUGUGUAUCUCUUCCUCUUCUUAUAAUGACACCAGUCAUAUUGGAUUAAGGGCCCAUCCUACUCUAGUAUGACCUGAUCUUAACUAAUUAUAUCUGCAAAGACCCUAUUUCCAAAUAAGAUCACAUUCGUAGAUACCAGGGUUAGGGCUUGAGCAUCUCUUUUUGGGGAACACAAUUCUACCCACUGCAGCAUGUACCCCUACUGCUUCUAUGAAUACAGAACUCUACAGGCUGUCAUUAAUUGCCAAAGCUUUCUGUGAGGCUCUUUUUGUUAGGUAAAAGUAGGAUGCAGAUGCAGGGUACAGUCACAUACACACACCAUUACUGACCUCAGAAGGCUUACAGUCUCAUAAAAAAACUGAUCGUAAAUCAACCUGUAGCUAUUCAUUAGAAAAAGUCCUUUAGGGCUUAGUCCAUUUGGACUGUUAUAACAAAAUACCUUAGAUAGGUAACUUAUAAACAACAGAAAUUCAUUGUUCACAGUUCUGGAGGCUGGGAAGCCCAAGAUCAAGGCAGCAGCAUUGAUGUCUGGUGAGGGCCUGCUUCCUCAUAGAUGGCACUUUCUAUGAGUCUUCACAUGGCAGAAGGGGCUAAUAAGCUUCUUCAGGCCUCUUUUAUUAUAUAAAAGCACUAAUCCCAUUCAUGAGGGCUUUACCCUCAAGACCUAAUUAUUUCCUAAAGGUCCCGCCUCUUAAUCCUAUUGCAUUGGGGAUUAGGUUUCAAUAUAUGAAUUUUGGGGAGAUGCAAACUUUCAGACCAUAGCGUGUAGUGAUGGGAAGAAGACAUGGUUUACAUAAUAUGGAUGGGGGGCCUCUCUGAGGAUAUGACAUUAAACUGAGACUUGAAGGAUGGCAGUGAAUCAGCCAUGGGAAAGAUAAGGAGAAUGUUCCAGGUAGAGUUAACAGCAAAUACUAAGGCCCCAAGGCAGGAAAGAGCUUACCACUUUCCAGGGACUAAAGGAGCAAAGAGGGGGAGAUGACAGAAGAUGAGAUUAAAGAUGUAGGCAGGGGCCACAUCUUUACUCUUUAAUUGCCUAAUGGGCAAUGAAUAGCUUCCAAACUUUUUUGCUGCAACCCUACAGCUAAGAAAUACCUUUGACACACUACCUGGUCCAUAGACGCAUAUAUACACAACUGGACAGUAGAUGGGAAGAUAGUGAGUCGUCGUUAGAUUUUUUGGUUGCCUUUUGGAGGUAGCAUCUCCGGAUCUCAAGGAUUGUGCAUGGGAAGGUGAAAGGAUUCCAGAUGAUGCUCAGCAACUGGGCUUGAGUAGUUGUGUUGAAGGUGGUGCCAAUAAAUGACAUGACAGCCUGGAGGAGGAAAAGGAUUUUGUUGGGGAGGGUGUGGCUGAAAAUAAACAGUUCCGUAUUUGACAUACUAUGUUUUAAGAUACCUGGAUAGUAGUAGGAAAGCAAACUAACUGGCUGUUUUCUUCUACUAUACUCUCAACACUCAACACAGCAAACUUCACAUUAGGUCACAAAAAUGUGUCAGGGGAUUUCCGCAACAACACGUGAGACGUCCUCACACGUGAGACGUCCUCGCCACUCUCUCUCCUCCUGCUGCAGUUCAGGUCCUCAUCAGUUCUCAUUCCGAUUCUUCCUGGAGCCUCCUUUCUCCCUCCCUAUGUCUAACC
RNAcentral lists this long non-coding RNA (2195 nucleotides) under Homo sapiens (human). RNAcentral's name for it is "HSALNT0088814". The record is from RNAcentral. Lineage: Eukaryota; Metazoa; Chordata; Mammalia; Primates; Hominidae.